AUUGAACGCUGGCGGCAUGCCUUACACAUGCAAGUCGAACGGCAGCGGACCUUCGGGUGCCGGCGAGUGGCGAACGGGUGAGUAAUAUAUCGGAACGUACCUUUCAGUGGGGGAUAACGUAGCGAAAGUUACGCUAAUACCGCAUAUUCUGUGAGCAGGAAAGCAGGGGAUCGCAAGACCUUGCGCUGAUUGAGCGGCCGAUAUCAGAUUAGCUAGUUGGUGAGGUAAAGGCUCACCAAGGCGACGAUCUGUAGCGGGUCUGAGAGGAUGGAUCCGCCACACUGGAACUGAGACACGGUCCAGACUCCUACGGGAGGCAGCAGUGGGGAAUUUUGGACAAUGGGCGCAAGCCUGAUCCAGCCAUGCCGCGUGAGUGAAGAAGGCCUUCGGUUGUAAGACUCUUUCGGCCGGGAGAAAUACGCACGGGUUAAUACCCUGUGUGG
This 443-nucleotide ribosomal RNA is filed under the name uncultured bacterium. RNAcentral's name for it is "bacterial SSU rRNA". It matches the Rfam family "Bacterial small subunit ribosomal RNA", at positions 30 to 471 of the family's 1533-position model. The record is from RNAcentral.